UACGGGGGGGGCAAGCGUUGUUCGGAAUUACUGGGCGUAAAGGGCUCGUAGGUGGCCAACUAAGUCAGACGUGAAAUCCCUCAGCUUAACUGGGGAACUGCGUCUGAUACUGGAUGGCUUGAGUUUGGGAGAGGGAUGCGGAAUUCCGGGUGUAGCGGUGAAAUGCGUAGAUAUCCGGAGGAACACCGGUGGCGAAGGCGGCUUCCUGGACCGACACUGACGCUGAGGCGCGAAAGCUAGGGGAGCAAACGGG
RNAcentral lists this ribosomal RNA (253 nucleotides) under uncultured bacterium. RNAcentral's name for it is "partial 16S ribosomal RNA". It matches the Rfam family "Bacterial small subunit ribosomal RNA", at positions 524 to 776 of the family's 1533-position model. The record is from RNAcentral.